This 77-nucleotide non-coding RNA is filed under the name Paraburkholderia phenazinium. RNAcentral describes it as "Burkholderia phenazinium Burkholderia sRNA 54". It matches the Rfam family "Burkholderia sRNA 54". From Rfam's summary of the family: Identified by RNA-seq, RACE and Northern blot. Lineage: Bacteria; Pseudomonadati; Pseudomonadota; Betaproteobacteria; Burkholderiales; Burkholderiaceae. The record is from Rfam by way of RNAcentral.
GAUCCUCUCAGGUUCUGGCACGGCCCUCGGAAUAGCCAGAAUCCUUUAGCCGACCGGAAUGCGGUCGGCUUUUUUUU